UGGGGAAUAUUGGACAAUGGGCGCAAGCCUGAUCCAGCCAUACCGCGUGGGUGAAGAAGGCCUUCGGGUUGUAAAGCCCUUUUGUUGGGAAAGAAAUCCAGCUGGCUAAUACCCGGUUGGGAUGACGGUACCCAAAGAAUAAGCACCGGCUAACUUCGUGCCAGCAGCCGCGGUAAUACGAAGGGUGCAAGCGUUACUCGGAAUUACUGGGCGUAAAGCGUGCGUAGGUGGUCGUUUAAGUCCGUUGUGAAAGCCCUGGGCUCAACCUGGGAACUGCAGUGGAUACUGGGCGACUAGAGUGUGGUAGAGGGUAGCGGAAUUCCUGGUGUAGCAGUGAAAUGCGUAGAGAUCAGGAGGAACAUCCAUGGCGAAGGCAGCUACCUGGACCAACACUGACACUGAGGCACGAAAGCGUGGGGAGCAAACAGGAUUAGAUACCCUGGUAGUCCACGCCCUAAACGAUGCGAACUGGAUGUUGGGUGCAAUUUGGCACGCAGUAUCGAAGCUAACGCGUUAAGUUCGCCGCCUGGGAGUACGGUCGCAAGACUGAAACUCAAAUGAAUUGAC
RNAcentral lists this ribosomal RNA (567 nucleotides) under uncultured bacterium. RNAcentral describes it as "bacterial SSU rRNA". It matches the Rfam family "Bacterial small subunit ribosomal RNA", at positions 355 to 914 of the family's 1533-position model. The record is from RNAcentral.